Molecule: ribosomal RNA, 253 nt
Filed under: uncultured bacterium
Lineage: Bacteria
Description: partial 16S ribosomal RNA
Rfam family: Bacterial small subunit ribosomal RNA
Source: RNAcentral
UACGAAGGGGGCUAGCGUUGCUCGGAAUCAUUGGGCUUAAAGGGCGCGUAGGCGGGCUGGCCAGUCCGGGGUGAAAGCCCACGGCUCAACCGUGGAAGUGCCUUGGAUACUGCCAGUCUCGAGGGAGGUAGGGGCGUGCGGAACUUCCGGUGGAGCGGUGAAAUGCGUAGAUAUCGGAAGGAACACCGGUGGCGAAAGCGGCGCGCUGGACCUCUUCUGACGCUGAGGCGCGAAAGCCAGGGGAGCAAACGGG